RNAcentral lists this ribosomal RNA (1648 nucleotides) under Triticum aestivum (bread wheat). RNAcentral's name for it is "partial small subunit ribosomal RNA". The record is from RNAcentral. Lineage: Eukaryota; Viridiplantae; Streptophyta; Magnoliopsida; Poales; Poaceae.
ACGAAUUCCAGUCACUUUCUUUCCUUGGCGACCGAUCAGCUGAAGUGGAUCGCUGAAGUGAGGUGGAAGCGGCAGGCCAACCCCAUCCCUGCACGUGCACCCACUACCGCUCCACUCGUCACGCUCCAGCUGCCGGCCGCGACACGCUCCGCACGCGAUCUCCACUCGCUCCGUCCAUCCGGAUCCCCUUCCUCCCUCCCCAGGUACUUCCGCAGUCCAUCGCCAUCCCCUCUUGUUCGAUUUGAUUUGAUUCCGAAGAAUCCUCCUCGAAUCUUCACUUUCCAUCUCGGCCGGCCGAGAUCUGAAGCAAAGCUCCGAUCUUGCCAGCCAGCCAGCGGCCAUGUCGUCCUCGUCGGACAACCCCAACACGGUCACCGACCGCGGCCUCUUCAGCAAGAGCAGCAAGGACGACGGCGCCGACAAGAAGAAGAAGCAGGAGGAGAAGAAAGAGGAUGGGGAGGAGGGCGGCGGCGGGUUCAUCGACAAGGUCAAGGACUUCAUCCACGACAUCGGGGAGAAGAUCGAGGAGGCGGUGGGGUUCGGCAAGCCCAGCGCCGACGUGGCCCGGAUCCACGUGCCCCACAUCGGCCUCCACCGCGCCGACCUCGUCGUCGACGUGCUCAUCAAGAACCCCAACCCGGUGCCCAUCCCGCUCGUCGACAUCGACUACCUCAUCGACAGCGACGGCCGGAAGCUCGUCGCGGGGCUCAUCCCGGACGCCGGCACCAUCCGCGCGCACGGCGAGGAGACGGUCAAGGUGCCCAUCACGCUCGACUUCGACGACAUCCGGAGCACCUACGCGGACAUCAAGCCGGGCAGCAUCAUCCCCUACCUGCUCCGGGUCAUCUUCCUCGUGGACGUGCCCGUCUUCGGCCGCAUCAAGAUCCCGCUGGACAAGUCCGGGGAGAUCCCCAUCCCGUACAAGCCCGACGUGGACGUGGACAAGAUCAAGUUCCACCACUUCUCCUUCGAGGAGACCACGGCCACCAUCCACCUGAGCCUGGAGAACAAGAACGACUUCGACCUCGGGCUCAACCUGCUCCAGUACGAGAUGUGGCUCGGCGACGACAGCGUGGUGGAGGCGGAGCUCACCGACUCCACCAGGAUCGAGAAGCAGGGGAUCACCAAGAUGCAGAUCCCCUUCACCUUCAGGCCCAAGGACCUGGGAUCUGCCGUCUGGGACAUGAUCAGGGGCAGGGGCACCGGCUACAGCAUCAAGGGCAAGAUCGAUGUCGACACCCCCUUUGGCAACAUGAAGCUGCCCAUCGACAAAGUCGGCGGAACCACUCGCCUCAAGAAGGACGACGACGAUGACGAUGAGUGAAGUGCUGUUACUGAACAUACAAGAUAGUCAAGCAGGGAGCCAGGGAGGAUCCAGCUGAACUCUUUACUCUAGCUUAUGGUAUCUUUGUUGAUGGCAUCAUCCGAACAUCGUCAGCGUUUUUAUGUUUCGGUGCUCAGUGUUCUUUGCGGGAACUCAUCCAGUGUGUAUUCUUUCUGUGUUAACUUUGUCAAGUGGAAACAGACCUGAAAAUAAAUUCCAUCGCCCCUUUCUUGUUUGUGGGGUAUGAUGUUAGCCUUCUUCAUCCAAAAUAUUGUGUCCAUGCCUGCUCUUUUUCCGCACCCAGUCAGCGAAGAUUAAUCUCAU